RNAcentral lists this ribosomal RNA (497 nucleotides) under uncultured bacterium. RNAcentral's name for it is "partial 16S ribosomal RNA". It matches the Rfam family "Bacterial small subunit ribosomal RNA", at positions 28 to 507 of the family's 1533-position model. The record is from RNAcentral.
GAUGAACGCUGGCGGCGUGCCUAAUACAUGCAAGUCGAGCGAACAGACGAGGAGCUUGCUCCUCUGACGUUAGCGGCGGACGGGUGAGUAACACGUGGAUAACCUACCUAUAAGACUGGGAUAACUUCGGGAAACCGGAGCUAAUACCGGAUAAUAUAUUGAACCGCAUGGUUCAAUAGUGAAAGACGGUUUUGCUGUCACUUAUAGAUGGAUCCGCGCCGCAUUAGCUAGUUGGUAAGGUAACAGCUUACCAAGGCAACGAUGCGUAGCCGACCUGAGAGGGUGAGCGGCCACACUGGAACUGAGACACGGUCCAGACUCCUACGGGAGGCAGCAGUAGGGAAUCUUCCGCAAUGGGCGAAAGCCUGACGGAGCAACGCCGCGUGAGUGAUGAAGGUCUUCGGAUCGUAAAACUCUGUUAUUAGGGAAGAACAAAUGUGUAAGUAACUAUGCACGUCUUGACGGUACCUAAUCAGAAAGCCACGGCUAACUACGUG